Non-coding RNA from Heterocephalus glaber (naked mole-rat), 4905 nucleotides. Lineage: Eukaryota; Metazoa; Chordata; Mammalia; Rodentia; Bathyergidae. The record is from RefSeq and is a predicted model, not a curated record.
UAGAGGGAAAGUAUAGGCAGAAGGCCCCCAAGUGAGGGGCUUUCUUGGGAAUAGGAUACAGAUUGCUGACAUACUCUUGUCAUAUUUUUUUUAACUGCACUUUUAAAAAUCAGUGAUCAUCUCACUAGAGUGGGCAGAAUUCCAAGUUAAUGGAAUUUCCAAUUGAUAGAAUUCUUCAGGUAUUAUUAAUUUACUAGAUGUUUUAGAGCUAUCUUUCCAAAAAGUUCAAGACAUAUUUUACAUAGACUUUAAGUCUUGUCGUGAAAGGUAAAAUAGAUAAUAAGAAAGUUAUGUGGAAAGAACAGCUGAUUAAAAACACAUUAAUUCACGCUUAUGCUCAGCAAGGGUUUAUGGAGGGCUUACUAUACCUCAGCACACAACCCUGGCUGCUGAGAAGACAAAAAAUGUAAAACAGUAUUUCCUCUUCAUGAGCUGACACUUAGGGGAAGAUCAGUGGAGGCUUAUGGGGUCAGGAAGAGCUUCACGAAUGAAAAUAGACUUGUGGUAGACCUUGAAGGGUUGAAAAACUUUUCAUGAACAUGAAGAGAACAGGAUUGUAGGCAGAGGAAAGGCUGGGAUUCAAGUAAGCUUUAUUAUGAUUUAUUUUAGUCUUGAUUAAGAAGGAGUAUUUGCCUUGGGAAAGUAACAGGAGAUAAAGUGCAAUAGGUAGGGUAGGAGUAGAGCAUUGAAUGCCAUGAGAAGGAAGAAUGAAAGGCUAAGCAAUGUUUAAUUAAAACCUUCCAGCAAACUGAUAUCAAAGAAGAAAAAGAAAGCUCCUUUUUAGCCUGGCCUACCCAGGACAACAGCAGAUGCUGACACUCUGGGACAAACGAUCCCCUUGAAGCGUGACAGCUGCGAUGACUUCCAGAUGUUCAACUCCUGUCUUCCAGCGGGCUGGGGUGGAUGUGGUAAACUCGGGGAUGGAAACCGAAAACCCAGCCAGAUGGACUGUGUCAGCAUCAGCCACUCACACAUCUGGCUCCAAUACCGGCAGCGAUAACCAGAACAAAUGGCUGCUGUUCCUGCUGCCCUUGGCUUGUCAGUGUCCAGGGACACGAUCAGGAAGGUGUGGGCAUGAGGGAGGUGUGUGGAUUGGAUCAGGCAGGUUGAGGACAUCAGAGAGGGCAAGCUGGGCCUGGAGCCCCAGACCCGAAACUGGUUGGGGUUUUGGCUCAGCUUUGCUUUGCCUGGGCAUCAGGCUGGGCUGGAAUUUGAGAUCCUCCUGCCUCAGCCUCCCUGAGUGCUGAGAUUAUAGGCAUGUGGUACCAUGUCUGGCCCCUCCUCUACCCUCUACCACUGAGCUACCCCCUGUCCUCCCUCUCCUCCUGAGUCCAUAAAUAGAGCUCACCAACAGUGAUGGGGCAGGAGUAGAUCUUAGCUGUUUUUAUCCCUAUGAUCAAAUUUUCUAAAUAAUACAAUCAGAAAAAACGAAUACUCUGAAACAAGAUGGAGUGUACAGAGCUGGAUGGGAAGGAAGGUAACCAGGCCUACACCUGCUGGCCUGCAGAAAGGGACUGAGUGGCACUGUGUGUCAUCAGCUCUGCUUUCUAACAGCAUAUGUUGUGCAUUUGAAAUGGCCACUAAUUUAGCACCAAAACACUUGGAUUUCGGUCCUGAUUCUGAUGCCAAUGAGCCUGGUGGUGGAAGAUAUAUUUUGGUUUCCUCCAUUAUAAAUUGGAGCGAUUUUUUAAAAACUUCAUAUGGUUCUCUGACACUGAAAGUUUACAAAGAGAAAUGAAUUAAGGGUGGAACUAGAAUCCAAGUUCUGUCAUAAACCAUGUAACUGUGGUAUUUACUUCAUUUCUUUGAACUUCAAUUUUAUCACCUGAACAACUGGCUCGGGGAAAUGGCUUUGACAGAUAUGAUGUUCUACAUAUACAUGUUUUGUUUUAUUUCUUUUGUGUAAAAGAGAAAACUGGGGUGCAGAGACACUGACUUGCCCCAAGGCCACAAAUAGACAAGUGUUAGGAAUGCUUUGGCUUGGCUUAGGUUGACAUGCAGUCACCUCAGUGUGGCUUUGUGCUUCUCCCUCCUUCUGCCUUCUGUUUUAAGGUCAGGGUGUUGCUCCCAGCUGAUGUGGUCCUUGAGGAAGAGGAGCCUCAAAUUGAGGCCUAGACCAAAGGUGCCUCAGCUUUCAGCUUCAAGUCACUGGAGUGCUCACUCAGGGUCUGUCCUUCAAGUUUCCAGCAAGUAGCUGCUCCCUUUCUGGGACUACAUCCCAGGACACAUGAUUUUAGAUACUGUCUUUUAGCUUCCUCCCAUGGGAGUGACUGUGUAACACAGCUGAGAGAAUGGACUCUGGAGGGAGUGACUAAGGCUGAAACCCUAGUUUCCAGUACUUAGUGAUGUGGGGCCUUUACAAGCUGCUUCUCUGCUGCGGAUCCGUUUCCUUGUCUGCAAGUGGAUUCUAGUAGUAUUUACCUCACAAGGUGAUGUUGAGAAUUAAAAGUUGAAUAUCUCAUGAUAAUGUCUGCACACACUACACACUAUAGAAACACUAUUACUAUCAUCAGGUUGAUCGGCAUACACUUUUCCACCACUUGUCAUUCCAAAAUACCCAAAUAACUAUUUUUGGUUAAACUAAUAUUAAAUAUUUACAUUAUGACAAUAUAAAUAUUAUGCCCAGGUAAGCCACAUAGAAACCUAUAAUUAUGUUUCCUUUCCCAUUCAGCCUUUUGUUUUCCCUGGAAUUAAGACUGUUCUGUUUUUGUGUUUUGUUUAGUUUGCUAGGUACCUGUUAUUAAUUCAUCCAUAAAUUCUCCUGUCCAUGCAUUCAAAUACAUGUAUGCUCUUGGUAUUGUUAUUUCCCUUGGCAACCCUUCCUGGAUCUUUUUAGGUCUCCUCUUCCCAGCUGGACAAGUUCCUCUGUAGCCUGAUGAAAAGGACACUCCCUGAAUAAAACAUUCUGGGAGUCCCUUCAACAUUAUCUUGGCAUUUAUCUUUACUACUUUCUUGUUUUGGAGUCCUUGUUGCCUAAAUUAUAUGCGUGAUAGAAACUGUUGGUUAUCCUUCCAAAUCCAUGUUUUCUUUCUUCCAUUGUAUUUCUUCUGUUCUAUUAGAACGGUAACUAAUAUCUGGCCAUCUAACCAAAGACUGUUUUCCAAUUCACUCUUAAAGUUAAGGGUUACCACAUGAGUGGUUUUUGCCAAAUGAAUGCAAGUGGAAGCAAUGCAUGCCAUUUCCUGGCCUGCUCCACGAAAACCUCUACACUUUUUCCAUCUGGUGAAUUGGAACAUGAAAAUCUCUCCAAUCAAACUGUGAUCAUACAUGAAAGGAUAAUGUCUGAAGAUAAUCAUUCUCAAACUUCACCAAGUAGUAGAGUCACACAGAAGUCUUAUUAAAACACAGAUUUCUGGGUUUCACCCCUCACAUUCCUGAUUCAUUAGAUCUGUGUUGGGACAUGAAGAUUUUCAUUCCCAUCAAGUUCCCCAAGUGACCUUGAUGUUGCUAGCUUGGGAAUUACACUGUAAGAACCACUGUCCUAAGAGUAGCAUAAAAACCAUGAUAAAGGUCAUUCAGUGUUCCUGGAAUGACUAAGUGGAGCAGAGUUGCCCUGCUCUCUGGAAUACAGUACUUAUUCUAGGUUAUAUGAGGAAAAAACCUCCAAGUUUACAUUUUCAUUAACCACUUACUUAUUUUGGGGGUUUCCAAAUUAUAGCCAUCAAAAUUGUUAAUAAUAUUAAAAACAGAAAACAAGAGAGCAAUUUUGUCUUCUCUUCCUUGAGAUUAAGAAGGAUAAAGUCAGAGGGGAAUGGAACAGUCAUGGCAUGGUCAGAGAGCUCUGUAGGGAUGGGACACAGGCAGAAUCCUGGGCCCUUGCCUGCUACCCAUUAAAAGCAUGAUUUGUGUUUUCUCCUGGGACAGCCAGGGACUUAAAAGCAAUUUUUGCUAUGAACCAUAAUUCUUCACUUGGUCCUACAGAUGUCCAGUAGGAAACAAAAAGCAGAAUAAAGUUUAACCUUCAUUUUGUGUCCUUUGUAACUAUAAAUCUUGGGUCAGAUCUCUUCUCUGUUCUGCAUAGGAAUAUGUUGAUCAUUUAGGGAGUGUCUAUCUAGGAGCUGGCCAGACAGGGUUGAUUAGCCCUGAGUUUACAUGAUCUCAUCCCCCUUCAGACUGAGGAUACCAAGAUAAAAGGUUUACCAGGACAAUCAGCUACACCCAGAAGGCUUCACCCACUGUCCUAAACCUGUGAUCACCUGGAUUCCAGGAAAGGUGGAGCCCCACAUGACUAAGAUCACCACAGAGACAGUUCUUUUCUGGGAAUAAAACUAUCUUUCAGCCAUAAAGAUUCCAGAACUGUGAUACCAGGACUAAGGUAAUGGUCAACUGGAUCCCAGUCCACCAGCUAAUCCUUGAAAGCUGGCCUUCCACUUUGUGGGAGGACCAGUCUGAACCCCUGCUGUAUGAGAGAAUGGCCCUUCCAGCUACCUAAACUUUCCAUCUUCCCAGUCACUUUCCAAUUACAGUGGUACCUCAGUUCAUGAAGUUAAUUUUUUCCACGAUUCUGGUCACAAACCAAAUUGGAUGACAACCAAAUCAAAUUCAGUGGUUAGGUUCAAUGCUGACCUUAUGGGGAAAUUUGAUUCCAUUCUAGUCCAAUUCAGUUUGCACCCCGAAUCAUGGAAAGAAUGAAGUUUGUAGCUCAGCCCACUUUCCACCAGGAGACCGAGCCCGUGAGGACCCCUGGGCUUGCCCACCAGCCUCCAGCUUGGCCCUUCGGGUGGGCACAGCGGGCACAGGCUGAGUGAGCGCUGCUCAGUCCAGCUCACUCUGCCCACUUUUGACCAGGAGACCGAGCCAGUGAGGACCCCUGGACUUGCCCAGCAACCUCCAGCUUGGCCGCGUGGGCACCUGCAACAACAGCCCCCACCCCCACUCCGCCUCUUGGCUGUACAGCUACUUGGA